RNAcentral lists this long non-coding RNA (987 nucleotides) under Gossypium barbadense (sea-island cotton). RNAcentral's name for it is "long non-coding RNA (GBAR_LNC002208)". Lineage: Eukaryota; Viridiplantae; Streptophyta; Magnoliopsida; Malvales; Malvaceae. The record is from RNAcentral.
GACCAUCCAGGAGUUUGUUAGUAAGGCCUUAGAUGCGUACACAAAAGAAAGGGAAAAUCAAGAUUUCAAAUAUUGGGAAUCUUGGUCCAAGACACCAAAUCUUGCAGCCAAAGCGCAUUGGAUCUCCAUUACGAGCAUCAACAAUUCAAUUUCGGUAGGAGAUGGAUCACAAGCCCAAAUUCUUCCAAGCCCAAUCAAGAAAUCCACCCAUACUUAGUUGAAAAUCAGGCCAAAUUGUCAAAGUGGCCCAAGUUGUAAAGUUUUAUUUUUUUAUUUUACUUAGUUUAAAUUUUUAUAUUCAGUCCAAGAGUCCCAAAUAAAAGACCCUUGGCCGAAUUUCCAUAUUAAAAUAAUUAGGAGUUUUUUUUUUUUUUUAGUUUUAGUUUUAGUGUUCUAAUUAAAUUAGGAAAACAUUUGAAAGGCCUAUUUAUAUGGCUUGGCCAGCCACCCUACAUUACAAUACAAUUAUAUUGAAAAUUUCAGAUUUGAUUUGAGUGAAAAUUCUCUUUGAGUUCUUCAAGGAUUUUCUCUUGAGUUUUCUUUAGAAGUUGUUUUAACAAUCUUUUGAUUGUGGAGCCAUCUUCAACCUUCUUCUUGCCAUUGAUAUUCUUUGGAGGGGAGAUUAGAGCCGUUUGAAGGGAUUUGUGAAAUCUUUCGGGAUUUCAAGGAUCUUUAGGACUUUCUUUAUUUCUUGCUAUUUCAUUUUAUUUCUUUAUUUCUACUUGUGCUGAAUCAUUAUCUAAUCUAUUUUCUGUUCUUAUUGUGUUUUCAGCCUUUUUCUAUCUUAAGGAAUCAGCCCAAAAAAAUCCCCAAUUUCUAGGGUUUUUUUUAUACUCUUUUUGGGUGAAAUUAGAUUGUCGAAAUUUGGGGAAAACUAUCUUGGUGUUCAAUUGGGCAGAAUCACAAUCUCCUUGAGGGUUUCAAGAACCCUAACACUUAUUUCUAUUCUCUAUUUGAUUCUUUACUGUUUUGGGGAUUUUAUUUCAG